Molecule: ribosomal RNA, 253 nt
Filed under: uncultured bacterium
Lineage: Bacteria
Description: partial 16S ribosomal RNA
Rfam family: Bacterial small subunit ribosomal RNA
Source: RNAcentral
UACGGAGGGUGCAAGCGUUGUCCGGAAUUACUGGGCGUAAAGCGUGCGCAGGCGGCGCGUUAAGACAGGUGUGAAAGCCCCGAGCUUAACUUGGGAAUUGCGCUUGUGACUGGCGUGCUGGAGUGUGGCAGAGGGAGGUGGAAUUCCACGUGUAGCAGUGAAAUGCGUAGAGAUGUGGAGGAACACCGAUGGCGAAGGCAGCCUCCUGGGCCAGCACUGACGCUCAUGCACGAAAGCGUGGGGAGCAAACAGG